GUCCAGGGAUGGGAGACGGCACUCAGGGAGCUAGCACUGGACAGGCCAGUGAUUCCGAAGACAGAGGAUAAAGGAAUGAAAGCAGGAAGAGAGAGAAUGGGUUAUGGGUGAAAUAUUCAGAUCCUGUAACCUCCAUAGAAGGUGGCCAAGUGGGCAGGGAGGCAAAGUCCCAGCCAAGCCCCUCAGCACCCCCAUGUUUUCCCAGCCCUGCUGAGCCCUGCAGUUCGUCUCCUCCUGGCUCCAAAAGCCAGACCAAACCCCGGAGAACAGAGGCGGAAAAAUGUUCCUGUACACGCACCCGGAGGCUUUUGCAGGAGGCGGCUGUUGGAGAACUGGGAAAACAAGCCAAGAAACAAGAGAGAGGAAAAAGACCACGCCUCGCCUGGCAGAUUCCUAAUGGCCCAGGAGACCUGAGGCUUUACAGUGGGAGGCCGGUGGGGGCCGGCUCGGGUGGGAGGGAAGGGCAGGCCGAAGGACAGCCACUUGCUGGCUGGUGACCUUGGGCGGGAUACUGCCUGCUUCCCUCUGGUGAGAAUGGGGAGGAGGGAGGCAGGGGCAGGCCUGGCCAGCUGAGGUCACAGGAAGGCCUCUUCCAGCCUGAAACGCGAUCUCGGGAUGUGGGGCCUGCCAACCUGCAGCGACCCUGGGCCAGCAGAGAUGAAAGGCUGCCUGUCCCCAGCUUCCGGACCCCCAAGGCCCCACUGCCUCAAACUUGGAGAGCAGCAGAGCUGUGUUGCCACUGGCUAGAGCCAGCUGCUGGGCUCCCCACCCCACCUUAUGUCAUCCAACCCUCCCUUCCCUGUUUUGCAGAGGACUCUCAGGCCCAGAGAGGGUGGUGACCUGCCUGAGGUCACACAGCAAGUGGGAGGUUGAGCCAAGGCUCACCACAGUCUUUGGACUCCACCUCCAGGCCUCCUGCCUUUCCCAGAAACUUGGCUGCCUGGGGGCUUACCCUGGGGAGUUGGAGAGCUGAGGAGGACACUUAGGAGCUGUGUCUGUUUGAAGUCACAACUUAAUGUUGACUAAAGUGCUUUUUUUCUUAAAGACAAAAAGAAAAUUCCCAACCCCUGUCAUAAGCCUGGACUUGCUCGCUGGCAGGGGAAGGAAUGCAGCUCUGGCCACCACAGCUGCUGGUGGCCAGCUGCAGCCUCAGCCUCUGCUGCUCCCGCCCCAGCCGGCAAAGGGACAAAGGCCUCUUCUCAGGCCUGUCCUCUCCAGCCCCUUGGAUCAGCUGGCAGAACAUUGACGAGCACCUCCUCUGUCACAGACCUGCUAAGUCAUUGUUCCUCUCUGGGCCUUAGUGCCCUUUCUGUAAAAUGGGGGCACAGUAUCUGCCUGAUCUACUUCUCAGCACUGUUUUGAGGCUCCAAGUAAAAUUCUGGAAAUA
Molecule: long non-coding RNA, 1387 nt
Organism: Macaca mulatta (Rhesus monkey)
Lineage: Eukaryota; Metazoa; Chordata; Mammalia; Primates; Cercopithecidae
Source: RefSeq, a predicted model, not a curated record